Molecule: long non-coding RNA, 7177 nt
Filed under: Zostera marina
Lineage: Eukaryota; Viridiplantae; Streptophyta; Magnoliopsida; Alismatales; Zosteraceae
Description: long non-coding RNA (ZMAR_LNC003096)
Source: RNAcentral
GAGGAUAAAAGGUUGGUUUAUCGAGGAAACAAAAUUGAAACACGAGCGACAUCUGUUCUCAAAAUUGAAAAAGAAAACCUAAAAAGAGAGGAAGAAAUCAUGUCCUCCAUUCUAACGCGUUUAUGAUCAUAAGUUACAUUCAGUCCGUUGAGAGAUAUUAACGACAACUCCCCGUCGUCUAUCGCAUUUCCAAUCUCCCGGGCUUCUUCCGUCAUUGCCGCCGCAAAAUAUAAUCAUCUGUAGAGAUCGAGGUCGCUUUGCGAAAAGUUUGUAUCUGAUUCUUCAGCUGCAAGAUUCUGGAUUUUGAACACACGCCACGUCAUAGGAAGUUGAUACGAGGCGGGUAGAACUGGCUGGAAUAAUAGAAGACCUGAAGAUGAACCACGAGCUCAGUGAAGAGGUCGCCGGAGAAGAAGAAAUCGAAGAAAAAGACAACGACCAAAGAAAGAGGGGAUUAGGUCAGAGCAGCCAAGUGAGGGAGAACCGAUCCAAGAGGGCUCCAAACUGGACUGCCGACUAUAACAUGGGCAGGUAAUUUAGAUAAGGGUUAAUUUACAGUGAGAUCCUUAAGUUUAGAUUAAUUGUGUUAUUUGUUUGUAUAGUUUUAAUUGGUUAAUUUAUAUUAUGUACCUUAUGUAACUACCCCUAUAAAGGGUCUAUUUGUAGAUAUUUUAUUUAUCGAAUAAAACUAAAAUUUCCCCAAAUUCAUUUCCUCCUCUCCACUCCAUAACCGCCGACCAUUCACAAAUCCAUCCGUUCACCAGUCCGUUCAUCAUCGAGACCACUUCCGACGCCUCCACUCACCGUCCUUCAGUCUCCGUCCGUCGCCGUCUGGUUAUUUCAUAACAGAAACUCUGUUCUCAUCGUCUCUGCCUACAAAAUCUGAUUUGAAUCUAUAUUAACCAAUUUUCAGUUCUUCUCCGUUGAUUAAUUCCGGCCAGAAGUUAGUCUCCGUUUGGGUUAAUUCCGGCUAGAAAUUCUGUCUCCAUCUUCACUGUCUACGAUACCGGAUUUGAUCCCGUAUCAACUGGUUCUUUCAAUCUAUUGUUUACUCAUUCUUUCAAAAAAAUGACAAAUGUUCCACACAACUUGUCGGAGGGCAUGGAAGCAACUGUCAAGAGACUCCAGACAUUUCAGAUGUCCCAGACAAGUUAACUGUCUGAUCUGAGGAAGUCACUGAAUCACAACGUACUGGAAUUAGGGAAGCAAAUCUCUGAUUUAACUUCACUCAUUACCAACAAGCAAGAGAUUCUACAUAAUAAACAGACAGGAGAAUCAUCUUCUGCCCAAAUGAAUAUGAGCAGUGAACAGGAGGAAACUACUGUUGAUCCAGAGCGACCUGCUUAUGCUGUGAGUAUGUAUGGUAAUGCAAAUUAUACUCCGUCUAAACAUAUCAAGUUUGAUAUGUCUAAGUUUAACGGGAAGGACCCUGAGGCCUGGAUCUUUAUGGCCCGGAGGUUUUUCAUUUUUUAUAACACCCCUGAAGAUCAGAAACUCAUUAUAUCAUCAUUCAACAUGGUCGAUGUUGCUUUGAAAUGGUUUAUGUGGAUGGAGUCCAGUAACUAUUUAAUCACUUGGCCGGCAUUCGUCAAAUCAUUGCUAAAAAAAUUUAACCCCACCACUUACACAAUUCCUGGUGGAAGAUUAAGCAAGAUUUCUCAGGUGACUACAGUUGCUGAAUUUGUGACAAGGUUUGAAGACUAUUCUUCAAAAGUGGUUGGUAUUAUUGAUUGGCUACUGUUAGAAAUGUUUAUUUUAGGUUUAAAAGAUGAAUAUUUAACAGAGGUAGUUAAGGCCAAGCUUACAGACAUUCAAGAGGCUAUGGAAUUGGCUGUACAUCUGGAAAACCAAGGUUCUGUGGGCUACAAAUCUGGUGGGUAUAGACCAAAUCCAGGAAGAUCUUUUAUUGGCAAAACUUCUGAAAAUAUGAAUUAUGGCAGCAACAUUGCAAUCACUAAUCAGCCUUUUGCAGCAAAUAAAACAACCCCAAAUGCCCCUGUUUUUAAAAGACUAUCUCCUGCUGAGAGAAGGGAGAGGACUGCCAAGGGUCUUUAUUUCAAUUGUGAAGAAAGCUUUACUCCAGGUCACAAAUGUAAGGGCAAGUUAUUCAAAUUUUCGGCAGAAGACAACACAUUAUAGGAAUUAGAAGGGGAGGAAGCUGAGAUUGAAUGCACACAUGAAGAGGAGGAGCAAAUUAUUGUAGAAGGGGAAGCUGAUACUGAAAUCAGUUUACAGGCUUACCAAGGUAAAAUAAGGCUCAUAACUAUUAGGCUUGAAAGCUUCAUAAAAAGCCAAAGUGUAAGCGUACUAGUAGAUCCAGGGUCCACUCACAAUUUCAUGCAAGUGGAUGUGGCUGCAAGACUUCACAUGGUGGUACAAGCAAUUAAUCCAUUCAGAGUUUCCACAGGCAGUGGGGAGAAGUUAAUAUAUGAUAAAGUUUGCAAACAAAUUCAGAUCAAGAUCCAAGAAGUAGUAAUUUCUAUUGAUCUGUUUCUAUUACCUAUGGCAGGAUCAAACAUAGUCAUUGGCACCCAAUGGCUCAAAGAGUUGGGGGAUGUGAUCUCUAACUAUAAGGAGCUUUGUAUGAAAUUUGAAUGGGAAGGAAAAAGAGUAAUAUGGAGAGGGAUUUCUUGGCUAAAUAGUGAACCACUUACAAGUGGACAACUAAAGUCAUUACAUGUCUCUACUUCUGAAGCAUACUUAUGUUAUUUUGAAUAUAUUGAAGAACCAAGUAUAAACAGUUUAUAAAUUUCAAAAUUGACAGUUGUAAACCAGGUAGUAGAAGUUUUCUCUAAAAUAUUUGAAGAACCCAAAGGAUUACCACCACAAAGAGCUAUUGAUCACUUUAUACAUUUACAACAUAAUUCCAAUCCUAUAAAUGUAAGGCCAUAUAGAUUUCCCCAAUUUCAGAAAGGGGAAAUUGAGAAGCUAGUUAAAGAAUUAUUAAAUCAAGGAACUGUGAAACCUAGUACUAGUCCUUACUCAUCUCCUGUGUUGCUGGUCAAAAAGAAAGAUGGAGGUUAUAGACUUUGCGUAGACUACAGAGCCUUGAAUGCAAUCACUAUCAAAGACAAAUUUUCAAUCCCUACAGUUGACGAAUUAUUGGGAGAGUUGAAGGGUGCUGUCAUCUUCUCAAAGUUAGAUUUAAGAUCAGGUUUUCACCAGAUAAGAAUAAAUCCCAAUGAUACUGAAAAAACAGCCUUUAUGACACAUCAGGGACACUAUGAGUUCUUGGUAAUGCCCUUUGGGCUUACAAAUUCCCCAGCCACAUUCCAAGCAGCCAUGAACAGGGUUUUUCAGAGGUAUUUAAGGAAGUUUGUGAUCAUUUCUUUGACGAUAUUUUGGUGUAUAGUACUUCUGUUUCAGAUCAUGUUAAACAUCUAGAGUUUAUUUUUUGAUCUAAUGAAAGAAAACCAAUUGUUAGCUAAGAAAUCCAAGUGUUGUCUUGGCCAAGAAACUAUGGGAUUUUUGGGCCACAUUAUUAGCAAGGAUGGGGUAAAUCCUGAUCCAGCAAAGAUUUCAGCCAUGUUAGAGUGACCUACACCUAAAUAUCUAAAGCAACUAAGAGGAUUCUUAAGACUUACAGGUUACUAUAGAAAAUUCAUCAAAGGGUAUGCUCAAAUUGUUUCAUCCAUGACAGAUUUAUUAAAGAAGGAUUCCUUCUCCUGGUCUGAGUUAGCUACCAAUAGCUUUGACAGGUUAAAGGAGGCCAUGACUAAGGCUCCAGUGCUUAAAUUUCCAGAUUUUGAUAAAGUUUUUACUGUGGAAACUGAUGUUUUUAAUACAGGAAUUGGUGUAGUUCUUCAACAAGAGGAGCACCCUAUAGCCUUCUAUAGUAAAAAAAUAGGGGGAAGAAUGGCUUCAGCAUCUAUAUAUAUCAAAAAAAUGUUUGCUAUCACCCAAGCUGUGGGUAAAUGGAGGCACUACCUAUUGGGUAAUCAUUUUGUGAUCAAAACAGAUCACAAAAGCUUAAAAAAUUUGUUAACACAGGUAAUCCAGACACCCGAACAACAAGUUUUCCUUUGUAAAUUGCUGAGCUACGAUUUCACAAUUAUUUACAAACCUGGCAAGGAUAAUAAGGUUACAGACGCUCUGUCCAGAUGUUAUGAUAAAGAAGAAAUUAUAUUCAGUAACAAGGCUGAUAACCACAAAGGCUCCUUAUUAGCACUAACAGCUCCUAUUUGUUCCUUAGUAGAAGAGAUGAGAAAGGAAAAUGAAACAUCGCCAGAAACUCAACAAUUAAUUGCCAAUAUCAGUUCAGGAUCUAAAAAAACCCAAAACUACACUUUUAAGGAUGGGUUAGUGCUUUACAAGGGCAGGUAUUACUUGAAAAACACUUCUGUUAUAAUUCCAAAAAUAUUGAAAGAAUUCCAUGAUUCACCAUUGGGAGGCCACUCCGGUAUAGAAAGAACUAUCAGAAGAAUUACAAUUCAAUUUUGGUGGCAAGGUAUGACUAAUGAUAUCAGAAUUUAUGUUUAAAAUUGUUUGACUUGUCAACAGAUGAAGCCCCUUGAUCAGAAAGCAUUCGGGCUGUUAAUGCCUCUGCCUAUUCCUCCUUCUAUAUGGCACGACUUAUCUGUUGAUUUUAUCAUAAAUUUUCCCAAGGUUCAAAACAAAACUGUGAUCAUUGUUGUGGUAGACAGACUAUCCAAAUCUUGUCACUUAGGAGCACUUCCAACAAAUUACACUGCUUACAUGGUAGCUGAAUUUUUUGUGCAAGAGGUAGUAAGGUUGCAUGGAUACCCAAACUCAAUAGUCUCUGACAGGGAUAAAGGUUUUCUCUCAAAAUUCUGGAAAGAGUUAAAUAAGCUUAGUGGGACAACUCUGAAUUUUUCUACUGUUUACCACCCUCAGAGUGAUGGCCAAACUGAGGUGGUUAAUAGAAGCAUCGAGAUGUAUUUAAGAUCUCUAGCCCACGAGGAUCCAAAAAAAUGGCUUUCUCUACUUCCUUGAGCAGAGUUUUGGUUCAAUACCAAUUACAACUCCUCUAUCGGACAAACACCAUUCCAAAUAUUAUAUGGAAAGGAAGCUCUUAUUUUACCAAACUAUAUCGAAGGUAGUUCUUCUAUUGAUGCUGUGGACAGAGAAUUAAGUGAUAGGGAAUAUGCUUUGGAGUCAAUGAAAAAUAAUUUAAUCAAAGCCCAAAAAAGGAUGAAGUCAAAUGCUGAUAAACAUAGACAGGAAAUACAGUUUAAUGUGGAUGAUUGGGUGUUGGUCAGGUUAAAGCGCUACAGACAAUCAUCAGUGGCAGUUCGACUACAUAACAAACUAAAUAAGAAAUAUUUUGGUCCCUACAAAAUCAAAGAAAAAAUCAGCAGGGUUGCUUACAGAUUAUCUCUGCCUCCGGGAAGUCGAAUUCAUAACACAUUUCAUAUAUCCUUGCUGAAGAAAUUCAUUGGCAGCCCACCUGAAGAUAAAGAUUUGACACCUUUAAUAGCGGUAAAAAAUAACCCUGUUUUGAUUCCUCUAGCUAUUAUAGAUUAUAGGAUUGUCUACUGGAAGGGAGUGCGAUUUCAGAAAGCUCUGGUCUAGUGGGACGGAGAACCAGUUGAAGAUUCCUCGUGGGAAGAUGUUACAACUCUGCGCAAGUCUUUUCCCUCAAUACACCUUGAGGACAAGGUGGUUUUCCGAGAGGGAUACCAUGAUACGAGGCGGGUAGAACUUGCUGGAAUAAUAGAAGACCUGAAGAAGAACCACGAGCUCAGUGAAGAGGUCGCCGGAGAAGAAGAAAUCGAAGAAAAAGACAACGACCAAAGAAAGAGGGGAUUAGGUCAGAGCAGCCAAGUGAGGGAGAACCGAUCCAAGAGGGCUCCAAGCUGGACUGCCGACUAUAACAUGGGCAGGUAAUUUAGUUAAGGGUUAAUUUGCAGUGAGAUCCUUAAGUUUAGAUUAAUUGUGUUAUUUGUUUGUAUAGUUUUAAUUGGUUAAUUUAUAUUAUGUACCUUAUGUAACUACCCCUAUAAAGGGCCCAUUUGUAGAUAUUUUAUUUAUCGAAUAAAACUAAAAUUUCCCCAAAUUCGUUUCUUCCUCUCCACUCCAUAACCGCCGACCAUUCACAAAUCCAUCCGUUCACCAGUCCGUUCAUCAUCGAGACCACUUCCGACGCCUCCACUCACCGUCCGUCGCCGUCUGGUUAUUUCAGAACAGAAACUCUAUUCUUAUCGUCUCUGCCUACAAAAUCUGAUUUGAAUCCAUAUUAACCAAUUUUCAGUUCUUCUCUGUUGAUUAAUUCCAGCCAAAAGUUAGUCUCCGUUUGGGUUAAUUCCGGCCAGAAAUUCUGUCUCCAUCUUCACUGUCUACGAUACCGGAUUUGAUCUCGUAUCAGAAGUCUUUUUUCCAAUCACUUGAGACAACAUCGAAAAGGCGUUAAUCCUGCUGAACUAACAAUGGUUUUGUCUCUGUGAACACCAAUAGUUCAUAUAACUCCCUCAAAUGUGCUAGGGUAUGUGCCUUCCAAUGUGAAGUAAUUUGAUCGAUCAAUUCUCACACUGUUGAGAUGCUUUAUUUUAAUUAACGCCAGUUAUCAAGUAUUUGAUGCAAUCAACGACGUUGUCGGUAUCGAUCCAGUUGUUGUAGGUGGUGUGGAAGUCUGGUGAUACACAACCGACCGGAACUACUUUCACAGACGAGGAGAUUACGAUAUUCACGGGAGGAAUGCUAGAAGCCGACGAUAAGAUAAUAGAAGAGAGCAAGGACGAGAGGGAGGCGAGAUUGACACGAACCAACAAGCGAGCUCAGGUCGCGCCCAGGUGGACAAAGGAUUAUGACUUAAGCGGACCCAAAGCGUGAUUCCAAAUAAUGGAUUGGGAUAACACCAAUACCAACUACCCAAGGGGUAGUUUCCUAAAUUUUCCUAAGCUUUUUCCACCGCCUCACAUUUUGUAAAAUCCCCAUUAAUAUAACCGACUUAUGAGGCUAUAUAUAGCCAUACAUGUAACUUACUUUAGUAAGAAAUAUUACAUACAAUUUCACUGCCGUCAUCUUAAUUUUACCGCCUCCAUCCUCACGUUCCACAACCCAUCUUCCUAACGCAUCCGACCACCGGCCGAGCUUCCGUCCAUCGUGGCCCAGCCCUCCGUUCGUCGUAGCAUCUUCGCCACAGCUCCCUCGACCUUUCACGAACCUUCCUCUGAAGAGCCAGCCACCAUCGGUCUCUCCAACGAGGAAUCCAGUGAUA